UCGGGAAUUUUGGGCAAUGGGCGAAAGCCUGACCCAGCAACGCCGCGUGAAGGAUGAAAUCCUUCGGGAUGUAAACUUCGGAAGAAUAGGAAGAAUAAUGACGGUACUAUUUUUAAGGUCCGGCUAACUACGUGCCAGCAGCCGCGGUAAUACGUAGGGACCAAGCGUUGUUCGGAUUUACUGGGCGUAAAGGGCGCGUAGGCGGCGCAAUAAGUCACUUGUGAAAUCUCCGGGCUUAACUCGGAGCGGCCAAGUGAUACUGUUGUGCUAGAGUGCAGAAAGGGCAAUCGGAAUUCUCGGUGUAGCGGUGAAAUGCGUAGAUAUCGAGAGGAACACCUGAGGCGAAGGCGGGUUGCUAGGCUGACACUGACGCUGAUGCGCGAAAGCUAGGGUAGCAAACGGGAUUAGAUACCCCGGUAGUCC
RNAcentral lists this ribosomal RNA (423 nucleotides) under uncultured bacterium. RNAcentral describes it as "bacterial SSU rRNA". It matches the Rfam family "Bacterial small subunit ribosomal RNA", at positions 355 to 796 of the family's 1533-position model. The record is from RNAcentral.